GUAUUUUUAACAAGGAUCCGACAUAAAGAUAUAUUUUUGGGUAACUCUUUGCAAAGUAUAAGCUAUAUACUACGUAUACAUUGUUUUCUUAAAAGCAGCCGAGUGUUUAAUGAUAUAAGACCUACUCCGGGUCGCCCAACACUAGACUAUCACUAGGGUUGGUGAUAUGUCUAUAAUUUGCAUGUUUUCAGUGUCCAUUCAUCAUCGUUUUGAGUCCAGUUUCGUAUCAUUCAUCACUGUUUUAUAUCAUUUCUCAUCAUUCUUGCAUACUUUGCAUGAUUAGGAUAGCUUUGCAUACAUAUUGCAUUUCUGAGUUGUUUUCAGGUGAUUUGGAGCUGUUUGCAAGCAAAUUGGAACAAACGAGCCAGAACCAGAAGACAUACUCGACCCCCCGGUCGAGUGACUUUGGAGCCAUUCUUCCCACAUACUCGACCCCCAAGUCGAGUGACUUUGGAGCCAUUCUUCCCAUCCACUCGACCACCGGGUCGAGUAACAUCAGCUCAGGCCACUUGAUGACACUACUCGACCCCCUGGUCGAGUAUCACUUCGCCACACCACCUGACAACACUCGACCAAUCACUCUACCAAGUUACUCGACCCCCUGGUCGAGUAUCAUCACUCACCACCAUCAGCAUCACUCGACCGGACACUCGAUCACGUCUUCACAGUCUACUCAAAUCUGCACUCAACCAGACAAGCUGAGCACAAGGAAGAGAAGAGGAGAAGACAAAGUGUUUGGAAGCGGCCUGGACCUCCAUCGGAUCACGAAGCCCAUCUCGGCCCAUUAUCUCUCUAUGGGCCGAGCGAUUAGGUUAUUGGCCCGUGUACUAUCAUUUUAUUUCGUUUUGUAUAAAUAGAUGUCUUAGGGUUCUGUCUUGGGACAUCUAGUCGACAUUGAGUUUUUGCUUCAGUUUUAUUUUUUGUUUUACUCUGCUGUGCCGUUUUUGCUUCUGCAACCUGUAAUUCGAGAUUUUUCCAAGUUAUUCAGAUUCCGCAUUUGAUUUCAUCUGUCAUCUUGUUUCUCUACUCUUUAUCUCUUUACUUAUGCAAUAUUAUCGUUUAUCUGCGUUUAUGUCUUUCAGCAUGUUGUCUGAGUAGUGACUUAGAAUUCUUAGGGAUGGGAAUGAGUAGUUAUGGAAUUCGUAGUCUGUAGAAUGGUUAAGUUUUAGAAUUGAUUGAAUCCCUUUAGGACUAGUUGCGUUUACUGCUUAUUUCUUUCUGAUCAACUGGAAUUCGAUCCCAAGCAUUCCCGCACCCAGAAGGUGUUCGAUGGAAUGCUUGAUCCACUAGUUCCUGAGAUAUGCGUCUCUAUCCCAAGGGAUUGGCCGUUUAGAGCGUUUAUUGACUUUAUCAGUCUGUUCUUAUUGCCUGCAUAGUUAGAUUCCGUUAAUGGGAAUUAGUCUGGGCUAGCUUUGCUUGAGGAUUUCUAUCACCGGAGUGAAUUGAUCUGUUGUUGAACCUGUUGUCUAGGGAUAGCUUGAUUGCGCUUGUUAACCAUUCGAAUAGGCUGAGAUACCACUCUACUCGAUUACCCCAUCCUUAGGAAUUUCUCGUCUAUCUUAUUUCUCUGUUUUAUCGUUAUCGCUUAAUCGUUCUUAUUGCCUGUUUCGUAGUUUUUACAAUCACUCGACCAACUUACUCGACCACACCCAGUGUCUGGCAACAGACUGUUCAGUCGAGUAAGAUUGUCUUGUUUCCUGUCUGUUACUCGUCCAGUAUACUCGACCACACCCAGUGUCUGGCAACAGACUGUGCAGUCGAGUAUAGCUGUUUCAUAUCCUGUCUGUUACUCGACCUGUUACUCGACCACAUCCUACUUCUGGCAUCAGCCUGUUGUGGUCGAGUGAUUUUAGUAAUUCUGUUAUUGCUUCUGUUUUCUGCAUGUUCGCUUAGGACUGUUAGAAACCCCAAAACUGUUAUUGCUUGGCUUGACUUAGUGACUUCUGAUCACAUCUCAUCUGUUUGCAUCACACCCAUUUGGAUUGAAACCUAAAAUACUACAAUGACAUGAAUUGUGUUUUAGGAUAAUUGAUUAAAA
Molecule: small RNA, 2038 nt
Filed under: Arabidopsis thaliana (thale cress)
Lineage: Eukaryota; Viridiplantae; Streptophyta; Magnoliopsida; Brassicales; Brassicaceae
Description: ATSL040310
Source: RNAcentral